UUAAGCGACUAAGCGUACACGGUGGAUGCCCUGGCAGUCAGAGGCGAUGAAGGACGUGCUAAUCUGCGAUAAGCGUCGGUAAGGUGAUAUGAACCGUUAUAACCGGCGAUUUCCGAAUGGGGAAACCCAGUGUGUUUCGACACACUAUCAUUAACUGAAUCCAUAGGUUAAUGAGGCGAACCGGGGGAACUGAAACAUCUAAGUACCCCGAGGAAAAGAAAUCAACCGAGAUUCCCCCAGUAGCGGCGAGCGAACGGGGAGCAGCCCAGAGCCUGAAUCAGUGUGUGUGUUAGUGGAAGCGUCUGGAAAGGCGCGCGAUACAGGGUGACAGCCCCGUACACAAAAAUGCACAUGCUGUGAGCUCGAUGAGUAGGGCGGGACACGUGGUAUCCUGUCUGAAUAUGGGGGGACCAUCCUCCAAGGCUAAAUACUCCUGACUGACCGAUAGUGAACCAGUACCGUGAGGGAAAGGCGAAAAGAACCCCGGCGAGGGGAGUGAAAAAGAACCUGAAACCGUGUACGUACAAGCAGUGGGAGCACGCUUAGGCGUGUGACUGCGUACCUUUUGUAUAAUGGGUCAGCGACUUAUAUUCUGUAGCAAGGUUAACCGAAUAGGGGAGCCGAAGGGAAACCGAGUCUUAACUGGGCGUUAAGUUGCAGGGUAUAGACCCGAAACCCGGUGAUCUAGCCAUGGGCAGGUUGAAGGUUGGGUAACACUAACUGGAGGACCGAACCGACUAAUGUUGAAAAAUUAGCGGAUGACUUGUGGCUGGGGGUGAAAGGCCAAUCAAACCGGGAGAUAGCUGGUUCUCCCCGAAAGCUAUUUAGGUAGCGCCUCGUGAAUUCAUCUCCGGGGGUAGAGCACUGUUUCGGCAAGGGGGUCAUCCCGACUUACCAACCCGAUGCAAACUGCGAAUACCGGAGAAUGUUAUCACGGGAGACACACGGCGGGUGCUAACGUCCGUCGUGAAGAGGGAAACAACCCAGACCGCCAGCUAAGGUCCCAAAGUCAUGGUUAAGUGGGAAACGAUGUGGGAAGGCCCAGACAGCCAGGAUGUUGGCUUAGAAGCAGCCAUCAUUUAAAGAAAGCGUAAUAGCUCACUGGUCGAGUCGGCCUGCGCGGAAGAUGUAACGGGGCUAAACCAUGCACCGAAGCUGCGGCAGCGACGCUGAUGCGUUGUUGGGUAGGGGAGCGUUCUGUAAGCCUGCGAAGGUGUGCUGUGAGGCAUGCUGGAGGUAUCAGAAGUGCGAAUGCUGACAUAAGUAACGAUAAAGCGGGUGAAAAGCCCGCUCGCCGGAAGACCAAGGGUUCCUGUCCAACGUUAAUCGGGGCAGGGUGAGUCGACCCCUAAGGCGAGGCCGAAAGGCGUAGUCGAUGGGAAACAGGUUAAUAUUCCUGUACUUGGUGUUACUGCGAAGGGGGGACGGAGAAGGCUAUGUUGGCCGGGCGACGGUUGUCCCGGUUUAAGCGUGUAGGCUGGUUUUCCAGGCAAAUCCGGAAAAUCAAGGCUGAGGCGUGAUGACGAGGCACUACGGUGCUGAAGCAACAAAUGCCCUGCUUCCAGGAAAAGCCUCUAAGCAUCAGGUAACAUCAAAUCGUACCCCAAACCGACACAGGUGGUCAGGUAGAGAAUACCAAGGCGCUUGAGAGAACUCGGGUGAAGGAACUAGGCAAAAUGGUGCCGUAACUUCGGGAGAAGGCACGCUGAUAUGUAGGUGAAGUCCCUCGCGGAUGGAGCUGAAAUCAGUCGAAGAUACCAGCUGGCUGCAACUGUUUAUUAAAAACACAGCACUGUGCAAACACGAAAGUGGACGUAUACGGUGUGACGCCUGCCCGGUGCCGGAAGGUUAAUUGAUGGGGUUAGCCGCAAGGCGAAGCUCUUGAUCGAAGCCCCGGUAAACGGCGGCCGUAACUAUAACGGUCCUAAGGUAGCGAAAUUCCUUGUCGGGUAAGUUCCGACCUGCACGAAUGGCGUAAUGAUGGCCAGGCUGUCUCCACCCGAGACUCAGUGAAAUUGAACUCGCUGUGAAGAUGCAGUGUACCCGCGGCAAGACGGAAAGACCCCGUGAACCUUUACUAUAGCUUGACACUGAACAUUGAGCCUUGAUGUGUAGGAUAGGUGGGAGGCUUAGAAGUGUGGACGCCAGUCUGCAUGGAGCCGACCUUGAAAUACCACCCUUUAAUGUUUGAUGUUCUAACGUUGACCCGUAAUCCGGGUUGCGGACAGUGUCUGGUGGGUAGUUUGACUGGGGCGGUCUCCUCCUAAAGAGUAACGGAGGAGCACGAAGGUUGGCUAAUCCUGGUCGGACAUCAGGAGGUUAGUGCAAUGGCAUAAGCCAGCUUGACUGCGAGCGUGACGGCGCGAGCAGGUGCGAAAGCAGGUCAUAGUGAUCCGGUGGUUCUGAAUGGAAGGGCCAUCGCUCAACGGAUAAAAGGUACUCCGGGGAUAACAGGCUGAUACCGCCCAAGAGUUCAUAUCGACGGCGGUGUUUGGCACCUCGAUGUCGGCUCAUCACAUCCUGGGGCUGAAGUAGGUCCCAAGGGUAUGGCUGUUCGCCAUUUAAAGUGGUACGCGAGCUGGGUUUAGAACGUCGUGAGACAGUUCGGUCCCUAUCUGCCGUGGGCGCUGGAGAACUGAGGGGGGCUGCUCCUAGUACGAGAGGACCGGAGUGGACGCAUCACUGGUGUUCGGGUUGUCAUGCCAAUGGCACUGCCCGGUAGCUAAAUGCGGAAGAGAUAAGUGCUGAAAGCAUCUAAGCACGAAACUUGCCCCGAGAUGAGUUCUCCCUGACCCUUUAAGGGUCCUGAAGGAACGUUGAAGACGACGACGUUGAUAGGCCGGGUGUGUAAGCGCAGCGAUGCGUUGAGCUAACCGGUACUAAUGAACCGUGAGGCUUAACCUU
This 2904-nucleotide ribosomal RNA is filed under the name Escherichia coli. RNAcentral's name for it is "bacterial LSU rRNA". It matches the Rfam family "Bacterial large subunit ribosomal RNA". RNAcentral also lists the same sequence under 1 other name. Lineage: Bacteria; Pseudomonadati; Pseudomonadota; Gammaproteobacteria; Enterobacterales; Enterobacteriaceae. The record is from RNAcentral.